UUCUAUUAAUUAUGCAAUUAAGUAAGAACAUAUAUAAAGGAUGUGAAAAUUGAUACAACCCGUCUAGCAAUGGCAGCUUUGGCUUUAUUAGAAGACAUUUUCAAUGGACAAAUCCGGAGAGAACAAGUUUUUAGGGACCACGGUGAUUUUCUGGCCCACGACGAUGACUGGCUCAUCAGCCGUUUCAGAUUUCCAAGGGCUAUACUCUUGGAGCUCUGCGCUGAGUUGGGUCCGAAUUUGGAAAGAGAGACAGUGAGGAGCCACGCAUUACCCGUUCCUUUACAGGUGCUUACUACACUUGGUUUCCUAGCAACCGGUUCUUUCCAAAGAGAACUGGCAGACCGCUCAGGAAUAAGCCAGUCGUGUUUGAGCCGUGCAAUGCCACCUGUAUGGGACGGCAUCAUCCGCUUGUCUACCAGGUAUAUAACGUUCCCAUACGAUGCAGGUGACCAGCCAAACAUCAAAGCGCAAUUUGCAGCGAUAGCCGGUUUUCCUAAUGUAAUCGGAGCGAUCGACUGCACACAUAUUGCUAUAAAGGCGCCAUCUGAAGACGAAUUUGCAUAUGUGAAUCGGAAACAUUUCCAUUCAAUAAAUGUGCAGAUUAUAUGUGAUGCACAAAUGCGCCUAACAAAUAUUGUGGCAAGGUGGCCUGGGUCAACCCAUGAUUCAUAUAUCCUUACAAACAGCAUGGUUGGGAUGAGACUCCAAGCUGGCAGGGUGCGCGAUGGGUGGCUACUUGGAGACAGUGGUUAUCCACUAAAGACGUGGCUGUUAACCCCCCUCACCAACCCACAAACUGACCGAGAGCGCAGA
Coregonus clupeaformis (lake whitefish) is the source of this 813-nucleotide long non-coding RNA. RefSeq lists it as uncharacterized. The transcript has 2 exons. Lineage: Eukaryota; Metazoa; Chordata; Actinopteri; Salmoniformes; Salmonidae. The record is from RefSeq and is a predicted model, not a curated record.